CCUGAUCCUGGUCUAAAUCCUGAUCCAAAAGAAUCCUGAUGCACAGGUUUGAUUGAUGCUGUCGGCCCAUUGGACCGUUCACACAUUCAGCUUCAUGAACUCAACAGGUGAACGUCUCCACAGUCAGAGGCAGCAGUCAUGUGACCGUCUGACUCGAGGCCACGUCAGGUAACUCAGCAGCCAAUCAGAGGCAGAGCUGCAUAUGUGUCACCAGUCG
This 217-nucleotide long non-coding RNA is filed under the name Mastacembelus armatus (zig-zag eel). Its description in RNAcentral is "lncRNA (ENSMAMG00000027616.1)". The record is from RNAcentral. Lineage: Eukaryota; Metazoa; Chordata; Actinopteri; Synbranchiformes; Mastacembelidae.